This 367-nucleotide ribosomal RNA is filed under the name uncultured organism. Its description in RNAcentral is "bacterial SSU rRNA". It matches the Rfam family "Bacterial small subunit ribosomal RNA", at positions 526 to 896 of the family's 1533-position model. The record is from RNAcentral.
CGUAGGGUGCAAGCGUUAAUCGGAAUUACUGGGCGUAAAGCGUGCGCAGGCGGUGAUGUAAGACAGAUGUGAAAUCCCCGGGCUCAACCUGGGAACUGCAUUUGUGACUGCAUCGCUGGAGUGCGGCAGAGGGGGAUGGAAUUCCGCGUGUAGCAGUGAAAUGCGUAGAUAUGCGGAGGAACACCGAUGGCGAAGGCAAUCCCCUGGGCCUGCACUGACGCUCAGGCACGAAAGCAUGGGGAUCAAACAGGAUUAGAUACCCUGGUAGUCCAUGCCCUAAACGAUGAUCACUUGAUGUCGGCCCUCGAGGGUCGGUGUCGAAGCUAACGCGUUAAGUGAUCCACUGGGGAGUACGCUCGCAAGGGUG